UACGAAGGGGGCUAGCGUUGCUCGGAAUUACUGGGCGUAAAGGGAGCGUAGGCGGACAUUUAAGUCAGGGAUGAAAUCCCGAGGCUCAACCUCGGAACUGCCUUUGAUACUGGAUGUCUUGAGUGUGAGAGAGGUGAGUGGAACUCCGAGUGUAGAGGUGAAAUUCGUAGAUAUUCGGAAGAACACCAGUGGCGAAGGCGACUCACUGGCUCAUUACUGACGCUGAGGCUCGAAAGCGUGGGGAGCAAACAGG
Molecule: ribosomal RNA, 253 nt
Filed under: uncultured bacterium
Lineage: Bacteria
Description: partial 16S ribosomal RNA
Rfam family: Bacterial small subunit ribosomal RNA
Source: RNAcentral